This 158-nucleotide ribosomal RNA is filed under the name Ophiostoma piceae. RNAcentral's name for it is "5.8S ribosomal RNA". It matches the Rfam family "5.8S ribosomal RNA". Rfam says of the family: 5.8S ribosomal RNA (5.8S rRNA) is a component of the large subunit of the eukaryotic ribosome. It is transcribed by RNA polymerase I as part of the 45S precursor that also contains 18S and 28S rRNA. Functionally, it is thought that 5.8S rRNA may be involved in ribosome translocation. The record is from RNAcentral. Lineage: Eukaryota; Fungi; Ascomycota; Sordariomycetes; Ophiostomatales; Ophiostomataceae.
AAACUUUCAACAACGGAUCUCUUGGCUCUGGCAUCGAUGAAGAACGCAGCGAAAUGCGAUACGUAAUGCGAAUUGCAGAAUUCAGCGAGUCAUCGAAUCAUUGAACGCACAUUGCGCCCGCCAGCAUUCUGGCGGGCAUGCCUGUCCGAGCGUCAUUU